AUAUGAGCGAUUAUUGGAUUGCCUUUUCAUUGGGAUAAGAAAAUAGCUGAGAAAAUAGAUAAGAAUAUAUCUAUAGAAUCUGUGAAGCAUCUAUUUCUAUUCAAGUGUAAUGAGAACAGGUCUGAAACGAUUUCAGACAAUACGGGCCGGGAAAAUAUCACGCCUUGCUUUUACUUCACUGUAAAUGUAGUUAGUAACUUGGAUACAUUGUCACUACAAGUUAACACAUUGAAUGCUUAAACAAUGUAUACAAAGUAAUAGCCGGAAACCAAAACUUUUUAUGGCGAAAAAUAGGCAGUUGGCCCGCAGACGAUUAAUCGGUUGACAAGAAGAGUGUGAAAUUUGAAUUACUAAAUUUGACCCAAGAAAAAAGAAUAAAACAAACGGGGUGAGCUAAAUAAAACCGUUUAAUAAAAAGAAAUAUUUUUUGGAUCCGAGUGGUCGGCAUACAGCACAUUGGGUGCCCACUACUCGGAUCUGAGAGGAUCUAAGGAUGGCAAUGGUUUAACAAAUAUACGGGACGCUCGCACGGAUCCGAUUAGACGACAUCGCUACUAUGACCCCGCUCUACUCGUAUCCGAGAAAAAAGCACUUAAUGUGUUAAGUCAAAUGGCACCACAUGUUGUUUGCAUUCAUCAAAAUUAAUGUAUUUGUAUAUUGUUAUUCUAUAACUUAUGGGUUAUUUUAUUACUUAUUCUUUUUCGGAGCGGAGAAGAAUCCACAGAAAAGAGAAAACUAACAUCGGUGCAG
This is a long non-coding RNA of Pieris rapae (cabbage white), 750 nucleotides long. RefSeq lists it as uncharacterized. The transcript has 3 exons. NCBI's taxonomy places the organism in Eukaryota, Metazoa, Arthropoda, Insecta, Lepidoptera, Pieridae. The record is from RefSeq and is a predicted model, not a curated record.